AAACUGCGAUAAGUAGUGUGAAUUGCAUUUAGUGAAUCAUCGAAUCUUUGAACGCACCUUGCACUCACUGGUAUUCCAUGGGGCAUGCCUGUUCGAGCGUCAUUUGUACCCUCAAGCUCUGCUUGGUGUUGGGUGUUUGUCCCGUCUCCGCGCGUGGACUCGCCCCAAAGUGAUUGGCAGCCGGCGUACUGGUCCCGGAGCGCAGCACAUGUCGCGCAAACGAGUGCCUUGGUACGGCGGCGUCCAUAAGCCCCUCUCUCACGCUCUUGACCUCGGAUCAGGUAGGGAUACCCGCUGAACUUAAGC
This 306-nucleotide unclassified non-coding RNA is filed under the name plant metagenome. RNAcentral's name for it is "partial contains 5.8S ribosomal RNA, internal transcribed spacer 2, and large subunit ribosomal RNA". The stretch from base 1 to 102 matches the Rfam family "5.8S ribosomal RNA", at positions 50 to 154 of the family's 154-position model. The record is from RNAcentral.